CGGAAGUGCCUGGUUAACUGUCAGGAGUUGAGAUGAUCCUCGGUUCUGAAAGGAAGGCGAAGGAGCCAGGUCGUGAAGCUCAGGAUCCUGUGCAGCCAGCAAGCCAAAGGAAUCAGAGGUCCACUACCUCUUCCUGCACCCACAUCCUUGUCAUCGAAUCGGACGACAGUCUUACCUUAGGAAAGGCCUCCCAGUUAAAGAAAGGAAACGCCUUUUUGAUGAACUAAGAGAAGAAAAGAAGAGGCCACGUAAGCAGGGAUCAGGAAGCGCUCACUGAGUGAACUUCCUGAAGUACCCAGGAAACUGUUUUCUCAUCCUUAGAGUGAAAGCCAAUAUUCUCUGUGUGUCUUACACUAACUGUUCAGCAGCAACCCUCUGAAGUGGACACUGUCACCAUCCCCACAUUAAAGAGGAGGAAAGUGAAGCUCUGAAAACUGAAGACAUCUGCUUGAGGUCACAUAAAAAAUAAACGCAGUCAUGAGAUGCGAGCUGUGGUCCAGCUAUGUCACUGACUUGGCCUUCUACAUUUGGGUAGCUCCGUUCCUUUGUGAAGGGUAAGAGGAUUCAAAUAAAAUCCUGACAAAAGUCUUCCUCUUAUAAAACUCUUUCUGUGGCUCUGUUCCCUGACUGCCUUCUUAGGACAAUAGAGUGUAGCUGUGGCAACCUCCUGGGG
Molecule: long non-coding RNA, 673 nt
Filed under: Fukomys damarensis (Damara mole-rat)
Lineage: Eukaryota; Metazoa; Chordata; Mammalia; Rodentia; Bathyergidae
Description: lncRNA (ENSFDAG00000029520.1)
Source: RNAcentral